GCAGACCAAAAAAUCCAUAAAGCUUCUUCAAUCAAAUCGAGGGAAAUAUCUUAACGGAGAAUUUUGGAUCUAUCUCAAGGAUAAUGGCAUAUGCUCAUAGUGGACACCUCCUGAGAUGACUCAGCUGAGUGGGGUAUCCGAAAGGAAGAAUUAGAUCCUUUUGGAUAUGAUCCGAUCUAUGAUGAGCUUCAUAGAUCUUUCUAUCUUUCUCUAGGGA
This 217-nucleotide long non-coding RNA is filed under the name Elaeis guineensis (African oil palm). RNAcentral describes it as "long non-coding RNA (EGUI_LNC070718)". The record is from RNAcentral. Lineage: Eukaryota; Viridiplantae; Streptophyta; Magnoliopsida; Arecales; Arecaceae.